CCUACGGGAGGCAGCAGUGAGGAAUAUUGGUCAAUGGACGAGAGCCUGAACCAGCCAAGUAGCGUGAAGGAUGACUGCCCUAUGGGUUGUAAACUUCUUUUAUAUGGGAAUAAAAUGUUCCACGUGUGGGAUUUUGUAUGUACCAUAUGAAUAAGGAUCGGCUAACUCCGUGCCAGCAGCCGCGGUAAUACGGAGGAUCCGAGCGUUAUCCGGAUUUAUUGGGUUUAAAGGGAGCGUAGGUGGGUUGUUAAGUCAGUUGUGAAAGUUUGCGGCUCAACCGUAAAAUUGCAGUUGAAACUGGCAGUCUUGAGUACAGUAGAGGUGGGCGGAAUUCGUGGUGUAGCGGUGAAAUGCUUAGAUAUCACGAAGAACUCCGAUUGCGAAGGCAGCUCACUGGACUGCAACUGACACUGAGGCUCGAAAGUGUGGGUAUCAAACAGGAUUAGAUACCCGUGUAGUC
Molecule: ribosomal RNA, 460 nt
Filed under: uncultured bacterium
Lineage: Bacteria
Description: partial 16S ribosomal RNA
Rfam family: Bacterial small subunit ribosomal RNA
Source: RNAcentral